Molecule: signal recognition particle RNA, 266 nt
Filed under: Actinomycetes bacterium
Lineage: Bacteria; Bacillati; Actinomycetota; Actinomycetes
Description: Actinobacteria bacterium signal recognition particle sRNA large type
Rfam family: Bacterial large signal recognition particle RNA
About the family: The signal recognition particle (SRP) is a universally conserved ribonucleoprotein involved in the co-translational targeting of proteins to membranes. Archaeal SRP consists of a 7S RNA and homologues of the eukaryotic SRP19 and SRP54 proteins.
Source: RNAcentral
CCGUGCUAGGCGGGGAGCCAGCGGUGCCCUGUACCCGCAAUCCGCUUCAGCGGGGCUGAAUCCCCGCCCGCGGCCCGAUGGGUCCGAGGCAGCUCCCGGUGCGGAGCGUCGAUGGUCGGGUCCCACGCGACGCCAACCUGCGAACCCGGUCAGAUCCGGAAGGAAGCAGCCGUAAGCGGGCCAUGGCGGGUGCCGUGGGGUCACCUGGCCGGAGCCACCGACCGGUGAUGCGCACGGGUCCGCCUGGGUCAACGGCGGGUGCACGG